GACGAACGCUGGCGGCGUGCUUAACACAUGCAAGUCGAACGGAAAGGCCCCUUUAGGGGUACUCGAGUGGCGCACGGGUGAGUAACACGUGAGUAACCUGCCCUUGACUUCGGGAUAACUUCAGGAAACUGGGGCUAAUACCGGCUAGGAAUCCUUGCUGCAUGGUGGGGGUUGGAAAGCUUCGGCGGUUUUGGAUGGACUCGCGGCUUAUCAGCUUGUUGGUGGGGUAGUGGCUUACCAAGGCUUUGACGGGUAGCCGGCCUGAGAGGGCGACCGGCCACAUUGGGACUGAGAUACGGCCCAGACUCCUACGGGAGGCAGAAGUGGGGAAUAUUGAACAAUGGGCGGAAGGCUGAUGCAGCAACGCCGCGGGCGGGAUGACGGCCUUGGGGUUGUAAACCGGUCUCAGCAGGGGCGAAGCUUGUGGUGACGGUACCUGCAGAAGAAGCACCGGCUAACUACGUG
RNAcentral lists this ribosomal RNA (465 nucleotides) under uncultured bacterium. RNAcentral describes it as "partial 16S ribosomal RNA". It matches the Rfam family "Bacterial small subunit ribosomal RNA", at positions 28 to 507 of the family's 1533-position model. The record is from RNAcentral.